CGGACGUGAGGCUUGGACUGACGGACCAGGAGGCUGGGUGACCAGCCGCAGUGGCUGACAUCUGGGACAUCGACAAGUGCAAGUGUACAUGGGAGUGACCGUGUUGACCAAAUCAAGACGGCGGACGCGAGUCGAGCGAGGCCUAGGAGGACUUGGCGGGCCGGCCGGUCGAGGACGGCGGUGACACGUGUCGAGUGGCGGGAAAGCGUAUGGAGUACGCUACUCGCGGCGGGUUUCGCGGGUUUGGGCCUCAAAACCC
This 259-nucleotide long non-coding RNA is filed under the name Sorghum bicolor (sorghum). RNAcentral describes it as "long non-coding RNA (SBIC_LNC018084)". The record is from RNAcentral. Lineage: Eukaryota; Viridiplantae; Streptophyta; Magnoliopsida; Poales; Poaceae.